AUUGAACGCUGGCGGCAUGCCUUACACAUGCAAGUCGAACGGUAACAGGUUAAGCUGCCGAGUGGCGAACGGGUGAGUAAUGUAUCGGAACGUGCCCAGUCGUGGGGGAUAACUGCUCGAAAGAGCAGCUAAUACCGCAUACGACCUGAGGGUGAAAGCGGGGGAUCGCAAGACCUCGCGCGAUUGGAGCGGCCGAUAUCAGAUUAGGUAGUUGGUGAGGUAAAGGCUCACCAAGCCGACGAUCUGUAGCUGGUCUGAGAGGACGACCAGCCACACUGGGACUGAGACACGGCCCAGACUCCUACGGGAGGCAGCAGUGGGGAAUUUUGGACAAUGGGCGCAAGCCUGAUCCAGCCAUGCCGCGUGCGGGAAGAAGGCCUUCGGGUUGUAAACCGCUUUUGUCAGGGAAGAAAAGGUUCUGGCUAAUACCUAGGACUCAUGACGGUACCUGAAGAAUAAGCACCGGCUAACUACGUG
RNAcentral lists this ribosomal RNA (477 nucleotides) under uncultured bacterium. RNAcentral describes it as "partial 16S ribosomal RNA". It matches the Rfam family "Bacterial small subunit ribosomal RNA", at positions 30 to 507 of the family's 1533-position model. The record is from RNAcentral.